UAGGAUAUAGCUCAGUGGUGCAGCACAUGCCUGGCAAGCAUGAGGUCCUGAGUUCAAUUCCUGGUACCAAAA
This 72-nucleotide transfer RNA is filed under the name Cavia porcellus (domestic guinea pig). It matches the Rfam family "tRNA". From Rfam's summary of the family: Transfer RNA (tRNA) molecules are approximately 80 nucleotides in length. The record is from Rfam by way of RNAcentral. Lineage: Eukaryota; Metazoa; Chordata; Mammalia; Rodentia; Caviidae.